This 336-nucleotide unclassified non-coding RNA is filed under the name soil metagenome. RNAcentral describes it as "partial contains 5.8S ribosomal RNA, internal transcribed spacer 2, and large subunit ribosomal RNA". The stretch from base 1 to 120 matches the Rfam family "5.8S ribosomal RNA", at positions 35 to 154 of the family's 154-position model. The record is from RNAcentral.
GAUGAAGAACGCAGCGAAAUGCGAUAAGUAAUGUGAAUUGCAGAAUUCAGUGAAUCAUCGAAUCUUUGAACGCACAUUUCGCCCGCCAGUAUUCUGGCGGGCAUGCCUGUUCGAGCGUCAUUUCAACCAUCAAGCCCCCGGCUUGUGUUGGGGACCUGCGGCUGCCGCAGGCCCUGAAAAGCAGUGGCGGGCUCGCUGUCACACCGAGCGUAGUAGCAUACAUCUCGCUCUGGGCGUGCUGCGGGUUCCGGCCGUUAAACCACCUUCAUAACCCAAGGUUGACCUCGGAUCAGGUAGGAAGACCCGCUGAACUUAAGCAUAUCAAUAAGCGGAGGA